Molecule: long non-coding RNA, 2042 nt
Organism: Amphiprion ocellaris (clown anemonefish)
Lineage: Eukaryota; Metazoa; Chordata; Actinopteri; Pomacentridae
Exons: 2
Source: RefSeq, a predicted model, not a curated record
GGCCUGCGACAGCAUGCCAACUCACUAUUCCUGAAGGAUUGUUUGUUUAGUGUGUGUGUCACAACUCGAAGGGUGUCGCUGCUAGAACUGCGUGUAUGCGGUAGUGUAUGUGCCCACUAACAACCUCACUGUUUUCUUACCAGUCACUAUUUGACUACUCUUAGAGUUAUAUUUUACACUGGCUUUAGAAUGUUCCGUUCUUAUCAGCACUGGCGAAGGUGUGGAAAAAUGGACAUAUGCCAGUUUUGUGGCAGACAAUAGACAGGGAAGGGAACAACAAACACCACAAUAACUUAAAAGCCCAGUUCCUUGGCUCUGGGCCCAGGAGAUUUCAGUGGUUUUGGAGCAGUUUCUUAUCCUAUUUUGCCCCUGGUGGUGGUGGAGGCGGUGGUGGAGUGGGCUCUGCAAGGCAGCCGCAGCUGAAGGCAGAGUUAGUAUGCACACAUAAAGCUGCUCAAAGCCAGCAGGUAUGUGAGGAAUGCCUCUUCGUCCAAACAACAGGACUCACGCCCGACACAGCCACGCCACGCAGCACUGUCAGAGCAGCUAAGUGGGGCCCACUAGGGACUCAGCAACAGGAUGCCUCUUUAUAUUAGAUCUGGCACACUAUCUGCAUUUAAAUACACUUACCCAGCAAUCAAUCACUUUGUACAUAGUGUAUGUCACUGGGUUUAAGCAUUUUUGCAGCGUGUAGAAAAAAAGAGCCUACAUUGUUUUACAGUGAGCCCUUGCUAAUCCAAGUGCAGAGGAAUGAGGGUAAUACUGGUAUGUAAAAUAUCCGUGUAAAAAUUUGAUUUAUCAAGCUGCACUUCAAUAAACAACCAAAAUCUACAGUACAUGAAAACUGCAAUGCAAUGGUGAAUGCAUGAACCAAUUUGUUUUGCACUUUAAAUACAUUUCUCCAACAUGUAUCGACAAGGGAUUUUGAGAUCUUUGCGCAAUAAACAUAGUUUAGGGUCUUUACAUAUUUUGUGUUCUGUGCCAGCUUGGUUAACCUGCAUGUUUGCACAGUAGGGGUUUCUAGAACAUGAGGUGACGAUGACUAUUACAUCUUGAUUGAAUUAUAAACAAUACGUUAAAGAAACCUUAGCACAUAAAGAAUCACAGGCAUACUGUGCUCGCAUGUACAUUUCAAACAAUCACAAGUAAGACUAUGCAACUGACAGUAAAUGAAACUAUUAAGUCCAAACUUCAUCUGUGUAUUUACCUCUUUUAUGCAGCCAUCCCUCCUUGACGAUCACCACAUUGGUCAUGUUGGUGGGCAGGAUGGAGGAUCCAGGUUUUCCACAGGGAGAGACACAACUUUAUAUCCCAAGUUUCCUUCCCUCAACCCUGUGCAGGAGCCUGGAGAUGGGGUCCUGGGGUUUGUAGCCGCCUUCUCAGUGGUGGUUACCUAUUAAUUGGAGAAAAGUAAAAAUUAGCCCUGCAAUGAGGUAAAAGAUUUUUUUUCCCACUUGUCUGAAUAUUAACCCUCAGGUCAACAUCGUAGAGGGGAAGCAGUGGAAAUUAGAAGAUCCUCGUGCUUUAUGGCCCAGUCAGUGGAGGAUAUGGUACAAUACAACCACAAUGUAGUUCUUUUCACAAGUGGAACCUGCAACAUUUCAAGGUUCAAGUAUCUGUGUAAGGCUGUGGUUUUUGGCAUUCACAAUGAAGCCUCCCGUAUUGGAAAAUUCCAUGGUCUUCACAAUUGACAGCCAUAGACUAUGUGCUCUUUUUUUUCAAAAUCAUGACCAGAAAAGUAGUGAUUCAGUAAGAACGUUAAAUAUUUUUCACAUAGGCAAUCUAAAUAAUCAAUUUUCAGACAUAUUGAACAACUGCAUACCUAUGUAUUUUCAGAAUUUUGCCAAAGGCAAGUUCAUAUUUGCUCCAAUGUUGUUUUUGUAAUUCUAAUUUUUUACUUUUACUUGUAAGCAUGUGGCAACAAAGUUCAAAAUGGAAGAAUCCUGUGAACUGAUUUGAGGACUGUGUAUUCUUUCUUUGUUUAUUGCAUACACUACCAUAUGUCUCUGAAGGAAAUGGCAAUAAAUACUACCCUACUUGCA